AGCUUUAGCCUGAGUGUCAACUAAUUAAAAUUCACUUUGCACGAUAACUUCCCAUAAUGGAUUUAGAAUUGGAAGUUGUAACGACUUAAACAGGCAACAAAUACAUCAAAGCUAAAGGGUGCAAACAAAUCCAACAAUACUGUAAUUUCAAAUUGCCUCGCAAAAUUUAGGUACCUUCAGCUAAACUAGAAACAAAAUCAGUAAAGUUGACAAAAGAAGUCCUAGAAUAAACUCAGGGGAACUGGGAACAGGACAUUUCAUACAGAGGCCAACACUGCAUUCCUCUAAUCGAAGAGACUGAAACCCAUGUCCUGCAAUAUUAAAACCAGAAAACCAUGUUAGCAGAUAUACAAGAUAUUUAGGAGUAAACAUUGUCCAGUGCAGAAGGAAGCCAAGGCUCCUAGAUUGACAGAGCAUCUUACAUCAUCAGAUUCCUCUUUCUCUUCCUUCUUCUCCUCUUUCUUCUCCUCAGCAGCUGAUGCUGCAGCGGCAGCACCACCAGCAGGUGCAGCU
Molecule: long non-coding RNA, 513 nt
Filed under: Nicotiana tabacum (common tobacco)
Lineage: Eukaryota; Viridiplantae; Streptophyta; Magnoliopsida; Solanales; Solanaceae
Description: long non-coding RNA (NTAB_LNC008007)
Source: RNAcentral